UACGGAGGGAGCUAGCGUUGUUCGGAAUUACUGGGCGUAAAGCGCACGUAGGCGGCUAUUCAAGUCGGGGGUGAAAGCCCGGGGCUCAACCCCGGAACUGCCCUCGAAACUAGAUAGCUAGAAUCUUGGAGAGACGAGUGGAAUUCCGAGUGUAGAGGUGAAAUUCGUAGAUAUUCGGAAGAACACCAGUGGCGAAGGCGACUCGCUGGACAAGUAUUGACGCUGAGGCAUGAAAGCGUGGGGAGCAAACAGG
This 253-nucleotide ribosomal RNA is filed under the name uncultured bacterium. RNAcentral's name for it is "partial 16S ribosomal RNA". It matches the Rfam family "Bacterial small subunit ribosomal RNA", at positions 524 to 776 of the family's 1533-position model. The record is from RNAcentral.